Molecule: long non-coding RNA, 568 nt
Organism: Podarcis raffonei (Aeolian wall lizard)
Lineage: Eukaryota; Metazoa; Chordata; Lepidosauria; Squamata; Lacertidae
Exons: 3
Source: RefSeq, a predicted model, not a curated record
GCGAGGAGGAGGAGGAAGGGGGGGGCAAAAAGAGGGGAGAGGAGGAGGAGGAGGAGGGAAAAGUUGAACCUCAGCCCAGGGAGUUCUGGAAUCCCGUGCACAAAACGUGAAAAGAAAGGAAGUCGGCAUCUCACCAGAAGUUUCCAUCCAUGAAGUGCCUUUAAUUACCCUUCUGUGAAGAGUCUUCACCAACAUGGCCUCUGCAUAUUUCAUAUCCUCCAAGUGUCCUGAUUUUCCAGUGCUGGAAUUACAAAAGCAAUCCUGGCUUCUGCUUUGAUCCCAGAACGUCCUGAUUUUCCCUGCCAGUGCUGCUGCUGCUGCUGAGCUUAGGGGGAAAGGAUGAGCCAUCCCAAACUGCAACUGUGAGGGAGCACCCCUUUGCCUCUCCUGGUGCUGCCGCCUCCUCCCCAUGGCAGCUCUUAGUGGCUGCCGGAGAGCGGGCGAGGAGGAGAGGCGGCCACUGCCACUGAGACCCAGCCCCACAUGAUACACUGGCUCUGAGAAGGCAGAAGGCAGCGCCACCCUGGGCAGGAAGAAAGGGGGAGAAGAGCACAAGAAGGCUUGAUAU